GCUCAGGGUGAAGCAAGCUCACAGCACAGCUCUGGUGAUUGAACUUCAUUGCUGAUGCAUUUGAUUCACAACCAUACAAGAGAACAUGGAGACCGGACUUUAUCUCAUUUGCAAAAGAGUAAAUGAGGAACAACAUGGGGAAAAUGACUAGUGAUGACACUGAAGGAAAACUUUAGCAGCUGCAAUUCUUACAAGGGGUACAGUGGUCCCAGCAGAGCCAGUGGAUGGAGUGGCAUGCCCAAAGUGGGAUAUCUCUGCAGCCAGGCCAGUCCGACACAUGAGCCAUGAUUCCCACGGUGUGGCAGCGCUGGACUGCUGAUACAGCAUCGGGACCUCAGACAUAAAUAUGGUUCCUGCCCUGCUGCUUCCAACCAUGUGAGCUGUGGCCCAGGGGAAAACACACAUCCAGGGCAGACAGUGUCACUGCUGAGUCCUCGGAGGUCUGAGCAGCUUCCUGCUCCCACUCCUCCUCUCCCAGGGCUGGCAGCGUCAGGGCUCUGAGGACAGCGAAGGAUGCUCAGGUACAGCAGGAGUGGGGUCGUUCAGCUCAGCUCAUUAGUGCUACUAUUUCUGUCUCUAGCCUUUUCUCUGUUCGUAUCCAU
Molecule: long non-coding RNA, 602 nt
Organism: Corvus hawaiiensis (hawaiian crow)
Lineage: Eukaryota; Metazoa; Chordata; Aves; Passeriformes; Corvidae
Exons: 3
Source: RefSeq, a predicted model, not a curated record